Molecule: ribosomal RNA, 440 nt
Filed under: uncultured Clostridium sp.
Lineage: Bacteria; Bacillati; Bacillota; Clostridia; Eubacteriales; Clostridiaceae
Description: bacterial SSU rRNA
Rfam family: Bacterial small subunit ribosomal RNA
Source: RNAcentral
CCUACGGGGGGCUGCAGUGGGGAAUAUUGCACAAUGGGCGAAAGCCUGAUGCAGCAACGCCGCGUGGGUGAUGAAGGUUUUCGGAUUGUAAAGCCCUGUCUUUUGGGACGAUAAUGACGGUACCAAAGGAGGAAGCCACGGCUAACUACGUGCCAGCAGCCGCGGUAAUACGUAGGUGGCGAGCGUUGUCCGGAUUUACUGGGCGUAAAGGGUGCGUAGGCGGAUAUUUAAGUGGGAUGUGAAAACCCCGGGCUUAACCCGGGGACUGCAUUUCAAACUGGAUAUCUGGAGUGCAGGAGAGGAAAGCGGAAUUCCUAGUGUAGCGGUGAAAUGCGUAGAGAUUAGGAAGAACACCAGUGGCGAAGGCGGCUUUCUGGACUGUAACUGACGCUGAGGCACGAAAGCGUGGGUAGCAAACAGGAUUAGAUACCCGUGUAGUC